CACGUAGGAGGCGAACGUUAUCCGGAUUUACUGGGCGUAAAGCGCGUGUAGGUGGUUUGGUAAGUAGGGCGUGAAAGCUCCUGGCUCAACUGGGAGAGGACGUUCUAAACUGCCGAACUAGAGGAUGGUAGAGGGAGGUGGAAUUCCGGGUGUAGCGGUGGAAUGCGCAGAUAUCCGGAGGAACACCAGUGGCGAAGGCGGCCUCCUGGACCAUUCCUGACACUCAGACGCGAAAGCUAGGGUAGCAAACGGGAUUAGAGACCCCGGUAGUCCUAGCCCUAAACGAUGUAGACUUGGCGUCGGUGGUUUAAUCACCAUCGGUGUCGAAGCUAACGCGAUAAGUCUACCGCCUGGGGACUACGGCCGCAAGGUUAAA
RNAcentral lists this ribosomal RNA (376 nucleotides) under uncultured bacterium. RNAcentral's name for it is "bacterial SSU rRNA". It matches the Rfam family "Bacterial small subunit ribosomal RNA", at positions 524 to 898 of the family's 1533-position model. The record is from RNAcentral.